UACGUAGGGGGCAAGCGUUGUCCGGAUUUAUUGGGCGUAAAGAGCGUGUAGGCGGCCAUACAGGUCCGUUGUGAAAACUGGAGGCUUAACCUCCAGACGUCGAUGGAAACCGUAUGGCUAGAGUCCGGAAGAGGAGAGUGGAAUUCCUGGUGUAGCGGUGAAAUGCGCAGAUAUCAGGAGGAACAUCUGUGGCGAAGGCGACACCCUGGACCAGCACUGACACUGAGGCACGAAAGCGUGGGGAGCAAACAGG
RNAcentral lists this ribosomal RNA (253 nucleotides) under uncultured bacterium. RNAcentral describes it as "partial 16S ribosomal RNA". It matches the Rfam family "Bacterial small subunit ribosomal RNA", at positions 524 to 776 of the family's 1533-position model. The record is from RNAcentral.